RNAcentral lists this ribosomal RNA (1439 nucleotides) under Staphylococcus sp. BQN1P-02d. Its description in RNAcentral is "bacterial SSU rRNA". It matches the Rfam family "Bacterial small subunit ribosomal RNA". Lineage: Bacteria; Bacillati; Bacillota; Bacilli; Caryophanales; Staphylococcaceae. The record is from RNAcentral.
GGCNNGCUAUACAUGCAAGUCGAGCGAACAGACAAGGAGCUUGCUCCUUUGACGUUAGCGGCGGACGGGUGAGUAACACGUGGGUAACCUACCUAUAAGACUGGGAUAACUUCGGGAAACCGGAGCUAAUACCGGAUAAUAUUUCGAACCGCAUGGUUCGAUAGUGAAAGAUGGUUUUGCUAUCACUUAUAGAUGGACCCGCGCCGUAUUAGCUAGUUGGUAAGGUAACGGCUUACCAAGGCGACGAUACGUAGCCGACCUGAGAGGGUGAUCGGCCACACUGGAACUGAGACACGGUCCAGACUCCUACGGGAGGCAGCAGUAGGGAAUCUUCCGCAAUGGGCGAAAGCCUGACGGAGCAACGCCGCGUGAGUGAUGAAGGUCUUCGGAUCGUAAAACUCUGUUAUUAGGGAAGAACAUACGUGUAAGUAACUAUGCACGUCUUGACGGUACCUAAUCAGAAAGCCACGGCUAACUACGUGCCAGCAGCCGCGGUAAUACGUAGGUGGCAAGCGUUAUCCGGGAAUUAUUGGGCGUAAAGCGCGCGUAGGCGGUUUUUUAAGUCUGAUGUGAAAGCCCACGGCUCAACCGUGGAGGGUCAUUGGAAACUGGAAAACUUGAGUGCAGAAGAGGAAAGUGGAAUUCCAUGUGUAGCGGUGAAAUGCGCAGAGAUAUGGAGGAACACCAGUGGCGAAGGCGACUUUCUGGUCUGUAACUGACGCUGAUGUGCGAAAGCGUGGGGAUCAAACAGGAUUAGAUACCCUGGUAGUCCACGCCGUAAACGAUGAGUGCUAAGUGUUAGGGGGUUUCCGCCCCUUAGUGCUGCAGCUAACGCAUUAAGCACUCCGCCUGGGGAGUACGACCGCAAGGUUGAAACUCAAAGGAAUUGACGGGGACCCGCACAAGCGGUGGAGCAUGUGGUUUAAUUCGAAGCAACGCGAAGAACCUUACCAAAUCUUGACAUCCUUUGACAACUCUAGAGAUAGAGCCUUCCCCUUCGGGGGACAAAGUGACAGGUGGUGCAUGGUUGUCGUCAGCUCGUGUCGUGAGAUGUUGGGUUAAGUCCCGCAACGAGCGCAACCCUUAAGCUUAGUUGCCAUCAUUAAGUUGGGCACUCUAAGUUGACUGCCGGUGACAAACCGGAGGAAGGUGGGGAUGACGUCAAAUCAUCAUGCCCCUUAUGAUUUGGGCUACACACGUGCUACAAUGGACAAUACAAAGGGCAGCGAAACCGCGAGGUCAAGCAAAUCCCAUAAAGUUGUUCUCAGUUCGGAUUGUAGUCUGCAACUCGACUACAUGAAGCUGGAAUCGCUAGUAAUCGUAGAUCAGCAUGCUACGGUGAAUACGUUCCCGGGUCUUGUACACACCGCCCGUCACACCACGAGAGUUUGUAACACCCGAAGCCGGUGGAGUAACCAUUUGGAGCUAGCCGUCGAAGG